Molecule: ribosomal RNA, 433 nt
Filed under: uncultured bacterium
Lineage: Bacteria
Description: partial 16S ribosomal RNA
Rfam family: Bacterial small subunit ribosomal RNA
Source: RNAcentral
AACGAACGCUGGCGGCAUGCCUAACACAUGCAAGUCGAACGAGACCUUCGGGUUUAUUGGCGCACGGGUGCGUAACGCGUGGGAACCUGCCCUUAGGUUCGGUAUAACUCCCCGCAAGGGGUGCUAAUACCGGAUCAUGUCUUCGGGCCAAAGAUGUAUCGCCUUUGGUUGGGCCCGCGUUAGCUUAGCUAGUUGGUAGGGUAAAAGCCUACCAAGGCCACGAUUCAUGGCUGGUCUGAGAGAAUGAACAGCCGCACUGGGAAGGAGACGCGGACCAGACUCCGACGGCAGGCAGCAGUAGGGUAUAUCAGACAACGGACGAAGGUGGAGACAAGCAAUGUCGCGGAUGACAUGAUUGCGUUAGGGUAGUAAAGCGCUUUUAGCCGCGAUGAUAAUGACAGUACCGGGAGAAUAAGCACCGGCUAACUCCGUG